This 1477-nucleotide ribosomal RNA is filed under the name metagenome. RNAcentral's name for it is "bacterial SSU rRNA". It matches the Rfam family "Bacterial small subunit ribosomal RNA". The record is from RNAcentral.
AGAGUUUGAUCCUGGCUCAGGAUGAACGCUAGCGGCAGGCCUACACAUGCAAGUCGAGGGGCAGCACGAGUAGCAAUACUUGGUGGCGACCGGCGCACGGGUGAGUAACGCGUAUGCAACCUACCUUUAACUGGGAGAUAGCCCGAAGAAAUUCGGAUUAAUACCCCAUAUUGUUAUGAAAUCGCAUGAUUUUAUAUCCAAAGCUCCGGCGGUUAAAGAUGGGCAUGCGUGCCAUUAGCUAGUUGGUGAGGUAACGGCUCACCAAGGCAACGAUGGUUAGGGGGUCUGAGAGGAUGAUCCCCCACACUGGUACUGAGACACGGACCAGACUCCUACGGGAGGCAGCAGUGAGGAAUAUUGGGCAAUGGGCGCAAGCCUGACCCAGCCAUGCCGCGUGAAGGAUGAAUGCCCUACGGGUUGUAAACUUCUUUUAUACGGGACGAACCACUCCGACGUGUCGGAGUCUGACGGUACCGUAAGAAUAAGCAUCGGCUAACUCCGUGCCAGCAGCCGCGGUAAUACGGAGGAUGCAAGCGUUAUCCGGAUUUAUUUGUUUAAAGGGUGCGUAGGCGGGAUAGUAGUCAGUGGUGAAAGCCUGCGGCUCAACCGUAGAAUUGCCGUUGAUACUGUUAUCCUUGAGUCCAGUUGAGGUGAGCGGAAUGUGUAAUGUAGCGGUGAAAUGCUUAGAUAUUACACAGAACACCAAUUGCGUAGGCAGCUCACUAAGCUGAAACUGACGCUGAGGCACGAAAGCGUGGGGAGCGAACAGGAUUAGAUACCCUGGUAGUCCACGCCGUAAACGAUGAUCACUCGCUGUUGGCGAUACACAGUCAGCGGCCAAGCAAAAGCAUUAAGUGAUCCACCUGGGGAGUACGACCGCAAGGUUGAAACUCAAAGGAAUUGACGGGGGCCCGCACAAGCGGAGGAACAUGUGGUUUAAUUCGAUGAUACGCGAGGAACCUUACCUGGGCUUGAAUGCAGAACGACAGACUGGGAAACUGGUCCUUCUUCGGACGGUCUGCAAGGUGCUGCAUGGUUGUCGUCAGCUCGUGCCGUGAGGUGUCGGGUUAAGUCCCAUAACGAGCGCAACCCCUAUCGUUAGUUGCCAGCGGAUAAUGCCGGGGACUCUAACGAAACUGCCGGUGUAAACCGUGAGGAAGGUGGGGAUGACGUCAAAUCAGCACGGCCCUUACGUCCAGGGCUACACACGUGUUACAAUGGCCGGUACAAAGGGCAGCUACCUGGUGACAGGAUGCUAAUCUCUAAAACCGGUCCUAGUUCGGAUUGAAGUCUGCAACUCGACUUCAUGAAGCUGGAUUCGCUAGUAAUCGCGCAUCAGCCACGGCGCGGUGGAUACGUUCCCGGGCCUUGUACACACCGCCCGUCAAGCCAUGGGAGCUUGGGGUACCUAAAGUACGUAACCACAAGGAGCGUCCUAGGGUAAAACAGGUGACUGGGGCUAAGUCGUAACAAGGUA